This is a long non-coding RNA of Haplochromis burtoni (Burton's mouthbrooder), 952 nucleotides long. RefSeq lists it as uncharacterized. The record is from RefSeq and is a predicted model, not a curated record. NCBI's taxonomy places the organism in Eukaryota, Metazoa, Chordata, Actinopteri, Cichliformes, Cichlidae. The transcript has 2 exons.
UCAAAGUCACAGAUUUAUAAAGUGAUGAUAUCUGAGUGAAUCUGCAUCUAAUAACAAUGACUUCAGUAGGCCUACAUUUCCCUGUGAUCUAUAAUUGAUGUAUUGGCGUUGUCCAUUGUAACAUUGUUCCUGCUUUUCUCACAGAUUCCACCUCAGUGAUUGUAAUAGCUACAAUAGCAGGACUGACAGUUUUUGCUUUAGUAGCUGCUCUCAUUGCACUCCUGCUUGAAGAAAAAGUGGUCUCCAAAUUCAGGACCUCAGUCCUUUAGAACAGCUGUGAGAUGUACUGGAACAGGAGAUUAUCAUUCUUUGUGUGGAGCACACAAAUCUUCAGCAACUGUGUGAUGCUAUCAGCUAUCAUUUGUGUGUGUGUAUGCUAAAUCCUCACAGGCUAGUCUAACAGUGUUUUACUAUUUUUGAUUGUAUAGAGAGAUGAAACCAUUGAAAGAGGUCAUGAAUUAUAUAGGAAAUUCAAUUCAAUUCAAUUUUAUUUAUAUAGCGUCAAAUCACAACAACAGUCGCCUCACAGCACUUUUUAUCUUAGAAGAUGUGAUCACCAAACUGGUCCUCUCAAAAAGCAAAACAUCAUCCACUGUAACGUGUGUCUUUUCGUUUUAGUUCAUUAAGUAGUAAAAAAAAAAUCUGGUGAUCACAUAUAACCCCGCCUCUUCAAUCUUUCAGUGUGAAUCACAUCAAUUACACUUCCUGUUUCUAAACAUAAUGACCACAUAGAAAGCACAGCCUUGUACUUCCAGUCACAUGAAAAGCUCCGUUUUUUAUUUUCUCUUCCUGUUAGUUCAAUUUUUUGAGGUCAAACCCUCAAAACUCCAGUUAACCCUUCUUCAGUCUCUCAUACCUGCUAAAAACUGAAUAGUGUCACCUUUUCAUAAACAGCCUGGGUUAUAAUUUUUGCUCUAUUUUGUGGAUGUGAAUACAUUAAAGCAUUUUACAC